Molecule: ribosomal RNA, 490 nt
Filed under: uncultured bacterium
Lineage: Bacteria
Description: partial 16S ribosomal RNA
Rfam family: Bacterial small subunit ribosomal RNA
Source: RNAcentral
GAUGAACGCUCGCGAUAGGCUUAACACAUGCAAGUCGAGGGGCAGCAUGGUCUUAGCUUGCUAAGGCUGAUGGCGACCGGCGCACGGGUGCGUAACGCGUAUGCAACUUGCCUCACAGAGGGGGAUAACCCGUCGAAAGACGGACUAAUACCGCGUACACUCUAUGUUGGGCAUCCAAUGUAGAGGAAAUGAAAUUCGCUGUGAGAUAGGCAUGCGUCCCAUUAGCUAGUUGGUGAGGUAACGGCUCACCAAGGCGACGAUGGGUAGGGGAACUGAGAGGUUGAACCCCCACACUGGUACUGAGACACGGACCAGACUCCUACGGGAGGCAGCAGUGAGGAAUAUUGGUCAAUGGGCGAGAGCCUGAACCAGCCAAGUCGCGUGAAGGAUGACUGUCUUAUGGAUUGUAAACUUCUUUUAUACGGGAAUAACAAGAGUCACGUGUGGCUCCCUGCAUGUACCGGAUGAAUAAGCAUCGGCUAACUCCGUG